AUGAACGCUGGCGGCGUGCCUAAUACAUGCAAGUCGAGCGAACGGACGAGAAGCUUGCUUCUCUGAUGUUAGCGGCGGACGGGUGAGUAACACGUGGAUAACCUACCUAUAAGACUGGGAUAACUUCGGGAAACCGGAGCUAAUACCGGAUAAUAUUUUGAACCGCAUGGUUCAAAAGUGAAAGACGGUCUUGCUGUCACUUAUAGAUGGAUCCGCGCUGCAUUAGCUAGUUGGUAAGGUACGGCUUACCAAGGCAACGAUGCAUAGCCGACCUGAGAGGGUGAUCGGCCACACUGGAACUGAGACACGGUCCAGACUCCUACGGGAGGCAGCAGUAGGGAAUCUUCCGCAAAGGGCGAAAGCCUGACGGAGCAACGCCGCGUGAGUGAUGAAGGUCUUCGGAUCGUAAAACUCUGUUAUUAGGGAAGAACAUAUGUGUAAGUAACUGUGCACAUCUUGACGGUACCUAAUCAGAAAGCCACGGCUAACUACGUG
This 495-nucleotide ribosomal RNA is filed under the name uncultured bacterium. RNAcentral's name for it is "partial 16S ribosomal RNA". It matches the Rfam family "Bacterial small subunit ribosomal RNA", at positions 29 to 507 of the family's 1533-position model. The record is from RNAcentral.